GACGAACGCUGGCGGCGUGCUUAACACAUGCAAGUCGAACGGAAAGGCCCUGCUUUUGUGGGGUGCUCGAGUGGCGAACGGGAGAGUAACACGUGAGUAACCUGCCCUUGACUUUGGGAUAACUUCAGGAAACUGGGGCUAAUACCGGAUAGGAGCUCCUGCUGCAUGGUGGGGGUUGGAAAGUUUCGGCGGUUGGGGAUGGACUCGCGGCUUAUCAGCUUGUUGGUGGGGUAGUGGCUUACCAAGGCUUUGACGGGUAGCCGGCCUGAGAGGGUGACCGGCCACAUUGGGAUUGAGAUACGGCCCAGACUCCUACGGGAGGCAGCAGUGGGGAAUAUUGCACAAUGGGCGGAAGCCUGAUGCAGCAACGCCGCGUGCGGGAUGACGGCCUUCGGGUUGUAAACCGCUUUCGCCUGUGACGAAGCGUGAGUGACGGUAAUGGGUAAAGAAGCACCGGCUAACUACGUG
Molecule: ribosomal RNA, 468 nt
Filed under: uncultured bacterium
Lineage: Bacteria
Description: partial 16S ribosomal RNA
Rfam family: Bacterial small subunit ribosomal RNA
Source: RNAcentral